RNAcentral lists this ribosomal RNA (497 nucleotides) under uncultured bacterium. Its description in RNAcentral is "partial 16S ribosomal RNA". It matches the Rfam family "Bacterial small subunit ribosomal RNA", at positions 28 to 507 of the family's 1533-position model. The record is from RNAcentral.
GAUGAACGCUGGCGGCGUGCCUAAUACAUGCAAGUCGAGCGAACGGACGAGAAUCUUGCUUCUCUGAUGUUAGCGGCGGACGGGUGAGUAACACGUGGAUAACCUACCUAUAAGACUGGGAUAACUUCGGGAAACCGGAGCUAAUACCGGAUAAUAUUUUGAACCGCAUGGUUCAAAAGUGCAAGACGUUCUUGCUGUCACUUAUAGAUGUAUCCGCGCUGCAUUAGCUAGUUGGUAAGGUAACGGCUUACCAAGGCAACGAUGCAUAGCCGACCUGAGAGGGUGAUCGGCCACACUGGAACUGAGACACGGUCCAGACUCCUACGGGAGGCAGCAGUAGGGAAUCUUCCGCAAUGGGCGAAAGCCUGACGGAGCAACGCCGCGUGAGUGAUGAAGGUCUUCGGAUCGUAAAACUCUGUUAUUAGGGAAGAACAUAUGUGUAAGUAACUGUGCACAUCUUGACGGUACCUAAUCAGAAAGCCACGGCUAACUACGUG